RNAcentral lists this transfer RNA (52 nucleotides) under Sarcoptes scabiei. RNAcentral's name for it is "tRNA-Ser". The record is from RNAcentral. Lineage: Eukaryota; Metazoa; Arthropoda; Arachnida; Sarcoptiformes; Sarcoptidae.
AAAAACAAAUUGAGGAUUUCUAAUCCUUUAUUUCUCCAGGGAGAUGUUUUUA